Molecule: ribosomal RNA, 492 nt
Filed under: uncultured bacterium
Lineage: Bacteria
Description: partial 16S ribosomal RNA
Rfam family: Bacterial small subunit ribosomal RNA
Source: RNAcentral
AGUGAACGCUGGCGGUAGGCCUAACACAUGCAAGUCGAACGGCAGCACACUAAGAGCUUGCUCUUACGGGUGGCGAGUGGCGGACGGGUGAGGAAUACAUCGGAAUCUACUUUUUCGUGGGGGAUAACGUAGGGAAACUUACGCUAAUACCGCAUACGACCUACGGGUGAAAGCAGGGGAUCUUCGGACCUUGCGCGAUUGAAUGAGCCGAUGUCGGAUUAGCUAGUUGGCGGGGUAAAGGCCCACCAAGGCGACGAUCCGUAGCUGGUCUGAGAGGAUGAUCAGCCACACUGGAACUGAGACACGGUCCAGACUCCUACGGGAGGCAGCAGUGGGGAAUAUUGGACAAUGGGCGCAAGCCUGAUCCAGCCAUACCGCGUGGGUGAAGAAGGCCUUCGGGUUGUAAAGCCCUUUUGUUGGGAAAGAAAAGCAGCAGGUUAAUACCCCGCUGUUCUGACGGUACCCAAAGAAUAAGCACCGGCUAACUUCGUG